Molecule: transfer RNA, 75 nt
Filed under: uncultured Actinomycetes bacterium
Lineage: Bacteria; Bacillati; Actinomycetota; Actinomycetes
Also listed under: 1 other name
Description: uncultured actinobacterium tRNA-Val
Rfam family: tRNA
About the family: Transfer RNA (tRNA) molecules are approximately 80 nucleotides in length. Their secondary structure includes four short double-helical elements and three loops (D, anti-codon, and T loops).
Source: RNAcentral
ACCGUUGUAGCUCAGCGGAUAGAGCACUCGCCUGACUAACGAGGUUGUCGCGGGUUCGAAUCCCACCAGCGGUAC